ACGAUGUCUGCUCCUAACAGAUGGCUAAAUCACUAGUUAACUAUUUUCAUCAUGGAAGUUAUACAGCUCAUGUAUCACACUUAAUAUUGAAUAUAUAUAUAAAAAGGGUUUUCCAAAAGGACCAUUUAUAAUCGAAAUACACAACUUCACACACGAUUUUGAGCACAACAGAGCGCUCAGUGAACAUCACUUCCGGGACCUGCAUCACCGGAGGGGGACAUCUAUCUUGGCCACAAACAAUCUUUGACAGUCUUCGACAGCAUGGUUGAAUCAGGUGCAUCAACACAUGAUGUAGACAUCGUAUCCAAAAGAAGAGCGAGACGUAAUCCUGAGGCUGAAGCCACCGAGUUUAUUUGAUCUGGAUGUGACAAGUCUUGUUUUAAGGCCCAGUGGAUCAAUGAUUGGAAAGACACCAACUGUUGGGGUUCUAUCUCAACAUUCUCCAGAUUCAGAUGUGAGCGAUAAACCGACUUCAUCCCUCCAACAGAAACCAACUGUUGAGGUUCCAUCUCAACAUUCUCCAGAUUCAGAUGUGAGCCAUUAACUGACUUCAUCCCUCCAACAGAAACCAACUGUUGAGGUUCUAUCUCAACAUUCUCUAGAUUCAGAUGACAGCCAUAAACCGACUUCAUCCCUCCAACAGAUUGACAGCAGGACAAAUCGCUGGAAGUGGGUAUGUCUCAAGCUUCUUCCACUUGGUCCACUCCAAAGCGGGGUGCAAAGGGGAAGAAGUGGAAGCAGUUGAAUGACACAUGUUGCAUUUUGUAACUGGCAACAAAGUACCAGGUAAAAAAGAUUGUGAAGCCUGCCUCCAUAAAGAACUAGUAGCUCUACAGGACAGAGAUUGGCUUGCCAUCAAGUACUACAUCCAUAACAGAAUUAUAUUAAAAAAAGGGAAAAAAAAUGUUUUCCCACAUCUUCUGUGGUAGUUUGAGUAUGUUACCAGCAAUUAAAAAAGCAAAAUAAAAA
Long non-coding RNA from Nerophis ophidion (straightnose pipefish), 969 nucleotides. RefSeq lists it as uncharacterized. The record is from RefSeq and is a predicted model, not a curated record. Lineage: Eukaryota; Metazoa; Chordata; Actinopteri; Syngnathiformes; Syngnathidae. The transcript has 7 exons.